This 647-nucleotide ribosomal RNA is filed under the name Antheraea pernyi (Chinese oak silkmoth). RNAcentral's name for it is "eukaryotic LSU rRNA". It matches the Rfam family "Eukaryotic large subunit ribosomal RNA", at positions 665 to 1256 of the family's 3401-position model. Lineage: Eukaryota; Metazoa; Arthropoda; Insecta; Lepidoptera; Saturniidae. The record is from RNAcentral.
UACCACGGAGUCUAGCAUGUGUGCGAGUCAUUGGGUUCGAUCGUAACAGAUGAAACCGAAAGGCGUAACGAAAGUGAAGGCGGGCGCUCGCCGUCCGCUCAGGGAGGAUGGAGCCGUGAUCUCGGUCUACGGUUCUCGCACUCCCGAGGCGUCUCGUUUCCAAUCAGUGAAUGCAGGCGCGCUCUGAGCACAGAUGCUGGGACCCGAAAGAUGGUGAACUAUGCCUGGUCAGGUCGAAGUCAGGGGAAACCCUGAUGGAGGACCGUAGCGAUUCUGACGUGCAAAUCGAUCGUCGGAACUGGGUAUAGGGGCGAAAGACUAAUCGAACCAUCUAGUAGCUGGUUCCGUCCGAAGUUUCCCUCAGGAUAGCUGGCGUCGAUGUUUGAACAGUCUCAUCCGGUAAAGCGAAUGAUUAGAGGCAUUGGGGCCGAAACGACCUCAACCUAUUCUCAAACUUUAAAUGGGUGAGAGCUCCGGCUUACUCGAACGAUGAAGCCGGAGAUCUGAUGACGGUGCCAAGUGGGCCAAUUUUGGUAAGCAGAACGGCGCUGUGGGAUGAACCAAACGUAGUGUUAAGGCGCCUAAAAAACGCUCAUGGGACACCAUGAAAGGCGUUGGUCGCUCAUGACAGCAGGACGGUGGCCAUG